RNAcentral lists this ribosomal RNA (1310 nucleotides) under Jahnula appendiculata. RNAcentral's name for it is "SSU rRNA". It matches the Rfam family "Eukaryotic small subunit ribosomal RNA", at positions 88 to 1419 of the family's 1831-position model. The record is from RNAcentral. Lineage: Eukaryota; Fungi; Ascomycota; Dothideomycetes; Jahnulales; Aliquandostipitaceae.
UGCAAAUGGCUCAUUAAAUCAGUUAUCGUUUAUUUGAUAGUACCUUACUACACGGAUAUCUGUGGUAAUUCUAGAGUUAAUACGUGCUAAAAACCCCGACUUCGGGAGGGGUGUAUUUAUUAGACUAAAAACCAACGCCCUUCGGGGCUCCUUGGUGAUUCAUAAUAACUCAACGAAUCGCAUGGCCUUGAGCCGGCGAUGGUUCAUUCAAAUUUCUGCCCUAUCAACUUUCGAUGCUAGGGUAGUGGCCUAGCAUGGUGACAACGGGUAACGGGGGAUUAGGGUUCUAUUCCGGAGAGGGAGCCCGAGAAACGGCUACCACAUCCAAGGAAGGCAGCAGGCGCGCAAAUUACCCAAUCCCGACACGGGGAGGUAGUGACAAUAAAUACUGAUACAGGGCUCUUUUGGGUCUUGUAAUUGGAAUGAGUACGAUUUAAAUACCCUAACGAGGAACAAUUGGAGGGCAAGUCUGGUGCCAGCAGCCGCGGUAAUUCCAGCUCCAAUAGCGUAUAUUAAAGUUGUUGCAGUUAAAACGCUCGUCGUUGAACCUUGGGCCUGGGCGAUCGGUCCCCCUCACCGGGAGCACUGGUUCGGCCGGGCCUUUCCUUCUGGGGAUCCGCAUGCCCUUCGCUGGGCGUGUCGGGGAACCAGGACUUUUACUUUGAAAAAAUUAGAGUGUUCAAAGCAGGCCUUUGCUCGAAUACCUUAGCAUGGAAUAAUAGAAUAGGACGUGCGGUCCUAUUUUGUUGGUUUCUAGGACCGCCGUAAUGAUUAAUAGGGUCAGUCGGGGGCAUCAGUAUUCAAUUGUCAGAGGUGAAAUUCUUAGAUUUAUUGAAGACUAACUACUGCGAAAGCAUUUGCCAAGGAUGUUUUCAUUAAUCAGUGAACGAAAGUUAGGGGAUCGAAGACGAUCAGAUACCGUCGUAGUCCUAACCAUAAACUAUGCCGACUAGGGAUCGGGGUAUACUCAUUUUUGGUUGCCUCGGCACCUUACGAGAAAUCAAAGUGUUUGGGUUCUGGGGGGAGUAUAGUCGCAAGGCCGAAACUUAAAGAAAUUGACGGAAGGGCACCACCAGGCGUGGAGCCUGCGGCUUAAUUUGACUCAACACGGGGAAACUCACCAGGUCCAGACACAAUAAGGAUUGACAGAUUGAGAGCUCUUUCUUGAUUUUGUGGGCGGUGGUGCAUGGCCGUUUUUAGUUGGUGGAGUGAUUUGUCUGCUUAAUUGCGAUAACGAACGAGACCUUAACCGGCUAAAUAGCCAGGCUAGCUUGGCUGGUCGCUUGUAGUCAAUGAGUCACUUGGAGGGA